UGAAAAUCAACAACACCAACCAGCGAGCAGCCAAGGGGAAAGCAAUCUUCCACACUCGUUUGGUCUUGUGUCAAAGCUGUGCGAAACUGGAGGGAGAAACUUGAGAGACCGUGCCGGAAGAAUGCUGGACAGAGUUCCAUAAAAUUCAUUAAUUUCAAAGUUCAACAUGAAUGGUGGUGGUCCACUGCAGAAGCAAGCAUUUGAAAAAACAUCAGUUCUCAGUUAUUAAAGAGCGUGAACAGGGUGUGAAGUGGCAUGCAAAACACGUUCACAGAAGAGGGGCAAAAAUGUAAUGCUUCCAAUUAGGCAUGGGCCGGAAUGAGAUUCUGGAUGAUAACCAUAAGCAAAAAUACCACGGUGUUACGGUAUUGCCAUUGUGACACUAAAAUGUGUUAUUUUCAAAUGUCUGCGUAUUAAAACAUCAACUUUUCAACUGGACACAAUACAUUUUAUUUUUAAACAACAAACAACAUUUAUGCCAGUUUAAAAUAAAGCCUUUAAAUGAUAAUAUUCUUUCAGUUGUAAAUGUAAACAUGAAUUCAAUUACAUGAUUUAAUUCACUUUGUGUAAAC
Molecule: non-coding RNA, 572 nt
Organism: Misgurnus anguillicaudatus (oriental weatherfish)
Lineage: Eukaryota; Metazoa; Chordata; Actinopteri; Cypriniformes; Cobitidae
Source: RefSeq, a predicted model, not a curated record